GAGAGUGGCAGACGGGUGAGUAACGCGUGGGAAUCUACCUAGUUCUACGGAACAACAGUUGGAAACGACUGCUAAUACCGUAUACGCCCUACGGGGGAAAGAUUUAUCGGAAUUAGAUGAGCCCGCGUAAGAUUAGCUAGUUGGUGGGGUAAUGGCCUACCAAGGCGACGAUCUUUAGCUGGUCUGAGAGGAUGAUCAGCCACACUGGGACUGAGACACGGCCCAGACUCCUACGGGAGGCAGCAGUGGGGAAUAUUGGACAAUGGGCGCAAGCCUGAUCCAGCCAUGCCGCGUGAGUGAUGAAGGCCUUAGGGUUGUAAAGCUCUUUCAGUGGGGAAGAUAAUGACGGUACCCACAGAAGAAGCCCCGGCUAACUUCGUGCCAGCAGCCGCGGUAAUACGAAGGGGGCUAGCGUUGUUCGGAUUUACUGGGCGUAAAGCGCACGUAGGCGG
RNAcentral lists this ribosomal RNA (452 nucleotides) under uncultured Devosia sp. RNAcentral's name for it is "bacterial SSU rRNA". It matches the Rfam family "Bacterial small subunit ribosomal RNA", at positions 91 to 578 of the family's 1533-position model. Lineage: Bacteria; Pseudomonadati; Pseudomonadota; Alphaproteobacteria; Hyphomicrobiales; Devosiaceae. The record is from RNAcentral.